GAACGUGGUGGGAGACGGAGAGGGCCUUGUACGUGCCAUCUUUCAGGCACAGGGUCCAGAACCCGCUCUGGGUCUUAGCAGAGAUGUACUGUCCUUUGCGGUUCACUGACUCCACACAGAUCCCGAUGGUCCACUUGCUGUUCCCUGCUACUUCCACCUCCCAGUAGUGGCUGCCACUGGAGAAACGGUUCCGACCCAGCACCGCUGGCAUUGUAUCAAAUCGCUCAGGUUUGUCCGGCACGUCCUGCUUUUUGGUCACGGAUUUCACACACUUUCCAUCAGGUGACACGGCAAGCUAUUGUUUAAAGACAAGUUUAGCACUGGGACAAGGAACCUGCUGACCAGACUGGCCAACACUCCAGUCCCUCAGGACUGAGAAUGGGCAGAGGACAGGAAAGAUGGUGACAAGGACUUAAGAUUCUUCACUUUGUCCUGUAAAUGUCUGUGGGGGGCUAAAAGGGGGACUAAAGACUCGGCCUCUCUGCUUGCAUUUUACACCAACCUUCUUUACUCCAAAGUCACCCUGGAUUCCAGGAAAAAGGGAUGAUGGAUGGACCUCAUGUGAAGAGUAGAGUCCACCUCAGCUUCCCCAGCUCAGGCAACAGCAACUUCCUUAUUGGACAAGGCCCUGUGGGACCAGCCUGAGAUAAGAAUGGGCAGGGCACACCUGACCAAGACCUCCUGCAUUGGCAGCUGUGCAAAGCCUCCAGCUGUGUAAGCUCCUCACACUGGACCUCAGUCCCCUUUCUGUAAAUCCUCAAAGUCCUUGUCAGCCCUGAAGACAGGGCUAAGGACAUGGGUCCCCGCAUCUUUCCAGAGUAGAUGAUCAAAGUUCCUUUUCAAGUUUUUUAAAACAAAAAAACAAAAUAAAAAACCAUUCAAUAUCAUUAGCCACAAGGAGUAACUGCAGGUCAAUACCACCAUGAGAAACCAUCUCACCCCAGUUAGAAUGGCUGUGAUCGAGACAGAGCAAAACAUCGUGCAUGGAGAGCCCCCCUUUGGGAGAGUCGACAGGCCGCGGCACAAGCCCAGGAGCAGGUUCCUCACCCCUGGGCAUGGCACCCACACAGCCGUCUCACGCUGAAGCAGGAUAUUUUUGCUUUCUUCCAGAAAACCUCCCACCUAACCGUAUAAUGCAUUCUCUGCCCUCAAGAAAAUGUGACAUGCGCAGCACCACCUGAGCGCAGAUCCGUUCGGCCUCUCAAUUCUUGGCCAGCGUUCAGGUAACAUUCUCUCCUGGAACGAGAUCUGCGUGCUGGCCGCCUGGGCUUGGCUCUGCCUGGGCUUGGGAAAGAGAGUCCCAGGGCUGAUGUCCCUCUCCUCUGACCAGGCCACCCGCUGGCUCACUCUGGACAGCAGUGCAGCCAGCGCUCUCCUUCCUCACCACCGCCUCUCACUCCCAGUCCCUGCUCUUCAGCAACUUGGCCUGGCUGGCCCCUCCUCAGCAGGACCCAUGGGCUCACUCCUCCUGCUGUGGGAGGAGUCAUUCGUCAUCACUGGGGGGCGCGAGGGAGGUGGAAGGGCUGAAGCCCCACACCACGCCUUCCCGCAUCCCUGCCAGGACUGUCUACCUUCUAUGAAUGCUCAAUACGGACCUUUCAAAUUACCACGAUAUUGGUUUAAUUGUCCCCAAACAUUAUUUUUAGGUGAUUAAAGGAAUUGCUAAUGGAUUUUGGUUUUGUUGCAACAAUCACAAAGAUCAAUUGUGUAUAUGUCAAACUACUGCAUAGGUCAAAAAUAAAUGUCACUUACCUUU
This is a long non-coding RNA of Marmota monax (woodchuck), 1756 nucleotides long. RefSeq lists it as uncharacterized. NCBI's taxonomy places the organism in Eukaryota, Metazoa, Chordata, Mammalia, Rodentia, Sciuridae. The transcript has 4 exons. The record is from RefSeq and is a predicted model, not a curated record.